RNAcentral lists this ribosomal RNA (449 nucleotides) under uncultured bacterium. RNAcentral's name for it is "bacterial SSU rRNA". It matches the Rfam family "Bacterial small subunit ribosomal RNA", at positions 28 to 478 of the family's 1533-position model. The record is from RNAcentral.
GAUGAACGCUGGCGGCGUGCUUAACACAUGCAAGUCGAACGGGAAACCUUUUAUUGAAGCUUCGGCAGAUUUAGAUUGUUUCUAGUGGCGGACGGGUGAGUAACGCGUGGGUAACCUGCCUUAUACAGGGGGAUAACAGUCAGAAAUGACUGCUAAUACCGCAUAAGCGCACAGGACCGCAUGGUCCGGUGUGAAAAACUCCGGUGGUAUAAGAUGGACCCGCGUUGGAUUAGCUAGUUGGUGAGGUAACGGCCCACCAAGGCGACGAUCCAUAGCCGGCCUGAGAGGGUGAACGGCCACAUUGGGACUGAGACACGGCCCAGACUCCUACGGGAGGCAGCAGUGGGGAAUAUUGCACAAUGGGGGAAACCCUGAUGCAGCGACGCCGCGUGAAGGAAGAAGUAUCUCGGUAUGUAAACUUCUAUCAGCAGGGAAGAAAAUGACGGUAC